This 410-nucleotide ribosomal RNA is filed under the name uncultured bacterium. Its description in RNAcentral is "bacterial SSU rRNA". It matches the Rfam family "Bacterial small subunit ribosomal RNA", at positions 50 to 504 of the family's 1533-position model. The record is from RNAcentral.
UUAACAUGCAAGUCGCACGGAAGCUUCGGCUUCAGUGGCGGACGGGUGAGUAACGCGUAGGUAUCUGUCCACGGGUGGGGGAUAACUCCGGGAAACUGGAGCUAAUACCGCAUAAUACCUGAGGGUCAAAGGCGCAAGUCGCCUGUGGAGGAGCCUGCGUUCGAUUAGCUUGUUGGUGGGGUAAUGGCCUACCAAGGCGAUGAUCGAUAGCUGGUCUGAGAGGAUGAUCAGCCACACUGGGACUGAGACACGGCCCAGACUCCUACGGGAGGCAGCAGUGGGGAAUAUUGGACAAUGGGGGCAACCCUGAUCCAGCAAUGCCGCGUGUGUGAAGAAGGUUUUCGGAUUGUAAAGCACUUUCGGCGGGGACGAUGAUGACGGUACCCGCAGAAGAAGCCCCGGCUAACUUC